Molecule: ribosomal RNA, 425 nt
Filed under: uncultured bacterium
Lineage: Bacteria
Description: partial 16S ribosomal RNA
Rfam family: Bacterial small subunit ribosomal RNA
Source: RNAcentral
UGGGGAAUAUUGCACAAUGGGCGCAAGCCUGAUGCAGCCAUGCCGCGUGUGUGAAGAAGGCCUUCGGGUUGUAAAGCACUUUCAGCGAGGAGGAAGGUGGUGAACUUAAUACGUUCAUCAAUUGACGUUACUCGCAGAAGAAGCACCGGCUAACUCCGUGCCAGCAGCCGCGGUAAUACGGAGGGUGCAAGCGUUAAUCGGAAUUACUGGGCGUAAAGCGCACGCAGGCGGUUUGUUAAGUCAGAUGUGAAAUCCCCGGGCUCACCUGGGAACUGCAUUGAACUGGCAAGCUAGAGUCUCGUAGAGGGGGGUAGAAUUCCAGGUGUAGCGGUGAAAUGCGUAGAGAUCUGGAGGAAUACCGGUGGCGAAGGCGGCCCCCUGGACGAAGACUGACCGCUCAGGUGCGAAAGCGUGGGGAGCAAACA